Molecule: ribosomal RNA, 397 nt
Filed under: uncultured bacterium
Lineage: Bacteria
Description: partial 16S ribosomal RNA
Rfam family: Bacterial small subunit ribosomal RNA
Source: RNAcentral
AAUAUUGCACAAUGGAGGGAACUCUGAUGCAGCAACGCCGCGUGAGUGAAGAAGGUUUUCGGAUCGUAAAACUCUGUCAUUGGGGAAGAAUAAAUGACGGUACCCAAUGAGGAAGCCCCGGCUAACUACGUGCCAGCAGCCGCGGUAAUACGUAGGGGGCUAGCGUUAUCCGGAUUUACUGGGCGUAAAGGGUGCGUAGGCGGUCUUUCAAGUCAGAAGUAAAAUUCUACGGCUAAACCGAAGCAGGCUUUUGAAACGGAAGACUUGAGUGCAGGAGAGGAGAGUAGAAUUCCUAGUGUAGCGGUGAAAUGCGUAGAUAUUAGGAGGAAUACCAGUAGCGAAGGCGGCUCUCUGGACUGUAACUGACGCUGAGGCACGAAAGCGUGGGGAGCGAACA